RNAcentral lists this ribosomal RNA (331 nucleotides) under uncultured Pseudomonadota bacterium. RNAcentral's name for it is "bacterial SSU rRNA". It matches the Rfam family "Bacterial small subunit ribosomal RNA", at positions 568 to 898 of the family's 1533-position model. Lineage: Bacteria; Pseudomonadati; Pseudomonadota. The record is from RNAcentral.
CGCGUAGGCGGUUUGGACAGUCAGGCGUGAAAUUCCUGGGCUUAACCUGGGGGCUGCGCUUGAUACAUCCAGACUUGAGUGGGGAAGAGGGUCGUGGAAUUCCCAGUGUAGAGGUGAAAUUCGUAGAUAUUGGGAAGAACACCGGUGGCGAAGGCGGCGACCUGGUCCUUUACUGACGCUGAGGCGCGAAAGCGUGGGGAGCAAACAGGAUUAGAUACCCUGGUAGUCCACGCUGUAAACGAUGUGUGCUGGAUGUUGGGUGACCUAGUCACUCAGUGUCGUAGCUAACGCGGUAAGCACACCGCCUGGGGAGUACGGCCGCAAGGUUGAA